This 517-nucleotide ribosomal RNA is filed under the name uncultured bacterium. Its description in RNAcentral is "bacterial SSU rRNA". It matches the Rfam family "Bacterial small subunit ribosomal RNA", at positions 63 to 575 of the family's 1533-position model. The record is from RNAcentral.
CAUUGUUUCAAGUUUUCGGACGAGAAAUGGUGGAGGAGAGUGGCGGAAGGGUGAGUAACGCGUGGAUAACCUACCCCCGAGUUGGGGACAACCUCACGAAAGCGGGGCUAAUACCGAAUGUGGUCUUGCCGUCAUGCGGUGAUGAUCAAAGAUGGGGAUCCUUCGGGACCUAUCGCUUGGGGCGGGGUCCGCGUGCCAUCAGCUUGUUGGUGAGGUAACGGCUCACCAAGGCGACGAUGGGUAGCCGGUCUGAGAGGAUGGUCGGCCACACUGGGACUGAGACAUGGUCCAGACUCCUACGGGAGUUAGCAUCAGGGAAUCUUGCUCAAUGAGCGCAAGCUUGAAGCAGCGACGCCGCGUGUGGGAUGAAGGCCUUCGGGUCGUAAACCACUGUCAGGAGGGACGAAGAUCUGACGGUACCUCCAAAGGAAGCCCCGGCUAACUACGUGCCAGCAGCCGCGGUAAAACGUAGGGGGCCAGCGUUGUCCGGAAUUACUGGGCGUAAAGAGCGCGUAGG